UGAGGAAUAUUGGUCAAUGGGCGGCAGCCUGAACCAGCCAUCCCGCGUGAAGGAAGAAUGCGCUAUGCGUUGUAAACUUCUUUUUCAGGGGGAUAAAAUUUUGUAUGUAUACAGAACUGAAGGUACCCUGAGAAUAAGCAUCGGCUAACUCCGUGCCAGCAGCCGCGGUAAUACGGAGGAUGCGAGCGUUAUCCGGAUUUAUUGGGUUUAAAGGGUGCGUAGGCGGAAGAAUAAGUCAGUGGUGAAACCCUGCAGCUUAACUGUAGACUUGCCAUUGAUACUGUUUUUCUUGAGUAUGGUCAAGGCAGGCGGAAUGUGUAAUGUAGCGGUGAAAUGCUUAGAUAUUACACAGAACACCGAUAGCGAAGGCAGCUUGCUGGGCCGUUACUGACGCUGAUGCACGAAAGCGUGGGGAUCGAACAGG
RNAcentral lists this ribosomal RNA (424 nucleotides) under uncultured bacterium. Its description in RNAcentral is "bacterial SSU rRNA". It matches the Rfam family "Bacterial small subunit ribosomal RNA", at positions 355 to 776 of the family's 1533-position model. The record is from RNAcentral.